Molecule: unclassified non-coding RNA, 338 nt
Filed under: soil metagenome
Description: partial contains 5.8S ribosomal RNA, internal transcribed spacer 2, and large subunit ribosomal RNA
Rfam family: 5.8S ribosomal RNA (bases 1-121)
Source: RNAcentral
GAUGAAGAACGCAGCGAAAUGCGAUAAGUAAUGCGAAUUGCAGAAUUUCCGUGAGUCAUCGAAUCUUUGAACGCACAUUGCGCCCACUGGUAUUCCGGUGGGCAUGCCUGUUCGAGCGUCAUUUCAACCAUCAAGCCCCCGGGCUUGUGUUGGGGACCUGCGGCUGCCGCAGGCCCUGAAAAGCAGUGGCGGGCUCGCUGUCACACCGAGCGUAGUAGAUUUUAUCUCGCUCUGGGCGUGCUGCGGGUUCCGGCCGUUAAACCACCCUUUUAACCCAAGGUUGACCUCGGAUCAGGUAGGAAGACCCGCUGAACUUAAGCAUAUCAAUAAGCGGAGGA